GUGAAUCAUCGAAUCUUUGAACGCACAUUGCGCUCUCUGGUAUUCCGGGGAGCAUGCUCGUUUCAGAAUCAUUAAUAAUCUCAAAGAAACGGUCAUUGUUUUUAACGAUGCCGCUUCUUUUGGAUGUGAGCCUCUUUGCCGUUUGGCAAUGGCUUGAAAAUGAUUGUGUUUGCACCAGCUAUACGGCUCGGUUCUUAACAAGUGCAACAGAUGUUAACUCAUUCGUUAUCUCUUGAAGAGGAUCGGUGUUGAAUACUGGUUGUUCACUCAAAACCAAAACUUUUGGCGGUCCUUGGAUCG
This 300-nucleotide unclassified non-coding RNA is filed under the name uncultured Powellomycetaceae. Its description in RNAcentral is "sequence contains 5.8S rRNA gene, ITS2". The stretch from base 1 to 71 matches the Rfam family "5.8S ribosomal RNA", at positions 84 to 154 of the family's 154-position model. Lineage: Eukaryota; Fungi; Chytridiomycota; Chytridiomycetes; Spizellomycetales; Powellomycetaceae. The record is from RNAcentral.